Molecule: ribosomal RNA, 465 nt
Filed under: uncultured bacterium
Lineage: Bacteria
Description: partial 16S ribosomal RNA
Rfam family: Bacterial small subunit ribosomal RNA
Source: RNAcentral
CCUACGAGUGGCAGCAGUAGGGAAUCUUCCACAAUGGACGAAAGUCUGAUGGAGCAACGCCGCGUGAGUGAAGAAGGGUUUCGGCUCGUAAAGCUCUGUUGGUAGUGAAGAAAGAUAGAGGUAGUAACUGGCCUUUAUUUGACGGUAAUUACUUAGAAAGUCACGGCUAACUACGUCCCAGCAGCCGCGGUAAUACGUAGGUGGCAAGCGUUGUCCGGAUUGAUUGGGCGUAAGGCUAUUGCGGGCGGUUCAAUAAGUCUGAUGUGAAAGCCUUCGGCUCAACCGGAGCAUUGCAUCAGAAACUGUUGAACUGGAGUGCAGAAGAGGAGAGUGGAACUCCAUGUGGAGCGGUGGAAUGCGUAGAUAUAUGGAAGAACACCAGUGGCGAAGGCGGCUCUCUGGUCUGCAACUGACGCUGAGGCUCGAAAGCAUGGGUAGCGAACAGGAUUAGAUACCCUUGUAGUC